AUUGAACGCUGGCGGCAGGCCUAACACAUGCAAGUCGAGCGGAUGAAGGGAGCUUGCUCCUGGAUUCAGCGGCGGACGGGUGAGUAAUGCCUAGGAAUCUGCCUGGUAGUGGGGGAUAACGUCCGGAAACGGGCGCUAAUACCGCAUACGUCCUGAGGGAGAAAGUGGGGGAUCUUCGGACCUCACGCUAUCAGAUGAGCCUAGGUCGGAUUAGCUAGUUGGUGGGGUAAAGGCCGACCAAGGCGACGAUCCGUAACUGGUCUGAGAGGAUGAUCAGUCACACUGGAACUGAGACACGGUCCAGACUCCUACGGGAGGCAGCGGUGGGGAAUAUUGGGCAAUGGACGAAAGCCUGAUCCAGCCAUGCCGCGUGUGUGAAGAAAGUCUUCGGAUUGUAAAGAACUUUAAGUUGGGAGGAAGGGCAGUAAGUUAAUACCUUGCUGUUUUGACGUUACCAACAAAAUAAGCACCGGCUAACUUCGUG
This 484-nucleotide ribosomal RNA is filed under the name uncultured bacterium. Its description in RNAcentral is "partial 16S ribosomal RNA". It matches the Rfam family "Bacterial small subunit ribosomal RNA", at positions 30 to 507 of the family's 1533-position model. The record is from RNAcentral.